This is an RNA transcript of Zea mays, 3931 nucleotides long. It is a transcript of the gene named protein MICRORCHIDIA 6, with no coding region annotated. NCBI's taxonomy places the organism in Eukaryota, Viridiplantae, Streptophyta, Magnoliopsida, Poales, Poaceae. The transcript has 19 exons. The record is from RefSeq and is a predicted model, not a curated record.
AGUCGCGAACGAGCGUGCCGCGCCGCGUGCACUCUCACACACACACAGAGAGAGAGAGAGAGAGAGAGAGAGAGAGAGAGAGAGAGAGAGAGAGAGAGAGAGAGAGAGAGAGAGAGAGAGAGAGAGAGAGAGAGAGAGAGAGAGAGCGCAACGCGAAAAGCCGAAAACCCAAAUCGAGUUUCCUGCCGGCCUGUCCAAUUUCUGUCUAACUCCCAGUCCCAGACCCAGACCCAGAGAAGAUCAGAAGAAGGGGGAAGACAGCUCGUGCUUCGACAGGCGUCAGCCCUAGCGCAGCUUCCCGGCGACGGCGAUGAGCCUGGGAGCUGAGGUGAUCGAGCUCUCCAGCGACGAAGACGAGGAGCCUGUGCCCAGCACUACCGCUCUCAUCCACCACGCCCCCUCCUCCCCUCCCGACGUCAAGCCGCACCUGCUCGCCGACGUCGAUGUGAAGCCGCUGCUUCUUCUCCCGCCGCCGCUCCACCCCCCGGGCUACGGCGCGCUCGUGCCCGUGAAGACCGAGGAGCCCGUGCCCGUGGCCACCGUCUCGUCACCGCCCAGGGCGCUCCCGCCGCCGCGCCUCUGCCGCCAGUUCUGGAAGUCCGGCGACUACGUCGUCGCGCGCCGCAACCCCGAUGUGGCCGGCCCCGGUGGGCGGAACCGGUUGCGGAUAAACCCCAAGUUUCUGCACUCCAAUGCGACUUCCCACAAGUGGGCUUUUGGCGCCAUUGCCGAGCUCCUUGACAAUGCAAUCGAUGAGGUGAACAAUGGGGCAACAUUUGUCCGUGUUAAUAAAUUUAAAAACCCACGAGAUGGGAACCCCUCAUUGUUGGUUCAAGAUGAUGGAGGGGGGAUGGAUCCUGAGGCACUGAGACGUUGCAUGAGCUUCGGAUUUUCAGAUAAACAGUCUGAUGCUUUCAUUGGGCAAUAUGGCAAUGGUUUCAAGACUAGUACGAUGCGGCUUGGAGCAGAUGUGAUUGUUUUUACACAAAACCAAAAUAACUGGGUGCCAACUAGAAGUAUCGGCCUUCUUUCUUACACAUUUUUGAUGGAAACAGGUUGCGAUGAUGUGCUGGUGCCAACGGUAGACUAUCAGUAUGAUCUAACAACAACUUCAUAUGUUCAGAUGUUGCGUCAUGAUCAGAAGCUCUUCUCUUCUAAUUUGGCAAUCCUUCUCAAAUGGUCCCCUUUUUCUACUGAAGCUGAGUUGCUUAAACAAUUUGAUGAUAUGGGAGAUCAUGGAACAAAGAUAAUUGUAUUCAACCUCUGGUUCAAUGAUGAUGGGGAUAUGGAGCUUGAUUUCAACUCUGACAAAAAGGAUAUCCUCAUUACUGGGGCCCACAAGAAGGUGAAAACAAACAGUUUGGACAAGAUUGCUGCACAGAACUACGUCUCAACUCGGCUUCGCUAUUCUCUUAGAGCAUAUGCAUCUAUCUUGUAUCUUCAUGUACCUGAUACUUUCAGAAUUAUCCUGCGGGGAUGUGAUGUGGAACCACAUAAUGUAGUUAAUGAUUUGAUGUAUCGGGAGUGCGUGUUGUAUAAACCACAAAUUGCUGGACUUACAGAGUCAUCGGUAAUCACAACCAUUGGGUUUGUUAAAGGUGCACCAGAUAUAGAUGUACAAGGGUUUAAUGUAUAUCACAAAAACCGUCUAAUAUUGCCCUUCUGGAAAGUUGCAAACAACUCAUACGGGAAAGGACGAGGAGUUGUUGGCAUUCUGGAGGCCAACUUUAUCAAACCUACCCAUGACAAGCAGGAUUUUGAGAAGUCAGUCCUUUAUCAAAGACUUGAGUUCCGCUUGAAAGAAAUGACUUACGAAUACUGGGACCUUCAUUGCCAUCGUGUUGGAUAUGACAACAAAAAAUUACCUAAAGCAACCCGUGCUAUUAAUCGUGCCAAUCAUAUGAACGGUGGCAGUUCCCCAACAAGUGCUCCACCUCGGUUGCUUGCAGUUGAUAUUCCAACAAGCAGCUCUAGUAUACCUAGAUUAUCAGCCUCUGCAGCAAGAGAAAAGAUCAGUAGUCUCGAUUCUCUUCCCAAGAGCAUGAUUGGAUUGAAGAGGAAGUUUAAUCCUUUCGGUGCUGUGGCGGCCAGUGCUGAUCAGGAUGGACUACAUCAUAUGGAUAAAAUAGUAAGUAUUUACACGACAUUGGCAGGGGAAGAAUAAUUCUCACUCCAUUCAUUUCUGUUUGUUGUUUUACCUUGUCAGGUGUAGCACCCCGUCCACUCCCGGACCGGCGGUACUUCUGGCAGCUCUUUAGGAUCAUAUAUUGUCCCCACAGAUCAACACGAGUCUUUUGUGCGCAUUUUGCCCUCACUCACGCGCACCUGAGAAAACUUCCUAGUCGGUCACCCAUCUUAAAUUGCUCAAAGCCAAGCACGCUAACCUGGAGGUUUUUUCGAGAUAGGCUUCCGAAAAAGAAGAUGCACCUUGUUGGUAUGGAUACUCUAUUAAUUCUAUUAAGCCUUGGGCCAGGAUAUCACCAUCCCAGGGGCCAGGAUAUCACAAUCCACCCCCCUUAGAAGACCGAUGUCUUCGUCGGUCAAUCCUAAUCCAGGAACCUCCCCUCUUAGCCACGUCUGCGUGUCUAAUGUCGUCAUAUGCCAUGCCAUGUGACCACUCCGGGCCCACAUGCGCCAUGCGCCAUAUAUCCGAACCCCUAACUCAUACACACCCGUGAAACCGCGAGAGUCGACUCUGAUACCACUUGUAACGUCCUGUCCACUCUCGGACCGGCGGUACUUACUCCUGGCAAUUCUCUAAGAUCAUAUAUUGUCCCCACAGACUAACACGAGUCUUUUGUGCGCACUUUGUCUUCACUCAUGCACCCCUGUGAAAACUUUCCGGUCGAUCAUCCAUCCCAAAUUAUUCUAAGCCAAGCACACUUAACUUGAAGGUUUUUUCGAGAUAGGUUUCCGAAAAAGAAGAUACACCUUGGUGGUAUGGAUAUUCUAUUAAGCCUUAGGCCAUAACAACAUGUCCAUAGCAUAUUUAGUGUUUACUACGCAUGCCAAGAUCUUUUCUUUUGUUUGUUGGUCACCAAGGGUGGUGGGGUGACAUAGUUUUAUGAUAACAGUGGUAGUGUAGUGACUGUGUGCUUCUCUUAAUUCCUGUGGACAAGUCACCAAAAAAGCAGAAGGAAUAGCUGAUAUAUGGAAUGUGGUGCAGCCCCAAUUCGUUUUAAUCACUGUCAACAAGAGUUAACUGGGCAUCUAAUUCUGUCGGUUUUGACCAUGGCUUUGACCACUAUCAGGAAUAGACUUGCCUCCCUCCACGGCUUUGACCAUGUCCAUAAUUAACUUUGGCUACUUUGGUGACAAAAAGUGGUAUCAUCAGCAUGAGCUACUUGUCGGUUUCUACUUCAGUCGCAGCAUCCGCAUCACGGCGCCACUACGACUGGGAAAUGGAAAUGAUGUUUCUCAACGAAGACGGUUUAAUGAAUACAAAACUUUGACCCUGGAGAAUGACAAGUUGCGAAAUGAAUGCUUACAAUACGAGGGAUCAGAGAAACAACUUGUCCUGAAGGAACAAAAGCUCCGAUCUGAAAUUGCUGAGGUGGAAAAGAAGUAUCAGGAAUUGUUGGGAGAGCUCAGAUCAUUGGAUGUGAAGAAAGAGAAACAAUGAACUCUCCACUUCAGCGCCUGUUGUACAAUUAAUUGCUCUUUUUUCUUUCCUGACCUGUGAAGAUGAUGACUGGAUUACUUCCCGAGACGUGCAGGGAACUGGUCCCUUGGACAAAUGUUAUCUACCGAUUACCAUUCGCUUGGUAGUUUCGUUGGAUAGCUGUAGAGGUGUAAUUUCGUUUCACUAAUCUUCCUAGGGUCCUGUGAUGGUGGAAGAAAGUGAGCAUGUAGUCUGUUGUAAAAUUAUGCAACUUGUAUCUGAAUGUACAGCAGCGGUUUCAAUGUUAAUGGCCCUCUGUUUCCAGCAGCA